Molecule: unclassified non-coding RNA, 323 nt
Filed under: soil metagenome
Description: partial contains 5.8S ribosomal RNA, internal transcribed spacer 2, and large subunit ribosomal RNA
Rfam family: 5.8S ribosomal RNA (bases 1-120)
Source: RNAcentral
GAUGAAGAACGUAGCGAAAUGCGAUAAGUAAUGCGAAUUGCAGAAUUCAGUGAGUCAUCGAAUCUUUGAACGCACAUUGCGCCCUGUGGUAUUCCGCAGGGCAUGCCUGUUCGAGCGUCAUUUCAACCCUCAAGCUCUGCUUGGUGUUGGGCCCUGCCCGCUGCGGCCGGCCCUGAAGACAGUGGCGGUGCCGCCUGGCCCUGAGCGUAGUACAUCUCUCGCUCCAGUGCCCGGUGGUAGCCUGCCAGAACCCCAACUCUCGUGGUUGACCUCGGAUCAGGUAGGGAUACCCGCUGAACUUAAGCAUAUCAAUAAGCGGAGGA